AAGUCGUAACAAGGUUUCCGUAGGUGAACCUGCGGAAGGAUCAUUAACACAAUUUUGAUUCACAAAUCUCUUUGCUUCGUUAUCUUUUUUUUCUAGAUGCAAGAAAUUCCAUCUAGAGAAAGAGUAACAAGCAAUUAACCCCCUUUCUAUGACGAAAAAUCUUUACAAAAGAAUGGAAGAAAAGGAAUGUGUUUCGUCACAAUCCGUUUCAACCGUUUUUUUCCUUUACCCAACUUUUUUUACCCCUUUUACAACAUGUAAUAGACUGAAAACAAAAAACUUGUAUUCUAGAUCUCUAGAAUAUCUAAAAAACUAAGAAAACAACUCUUAGCAACGGAUAUCUAGGUUCUC
Molecule: unclassified non-coding RNA, 351 nt
Filed under: fungal sp.
Lineage: Eukaryota; Fungi
Description: partial internal transcribed spacer region
Rfam family: Eukaryotic small subunit ribosomal RNA (bases 1-46)
Source: RNAcentral